RNAcentral lists this ribosomal RNA (429 nucleotides) under Chloroflexota bacterium. RNAcentral describes it as "Chloroflexi bacterium partial 16S ribosomal RNA". It matches the Rfam family "Bacterial small subunit ribosomal RNA", at positions 355 to 776 of the family's 1533-position model. Lineage: Bacteria; Bacillati; Chloroflexota. The record is from RNAcentral.
UAGGGAAUCUUCGGCAAUGGACGAAAGUCUGACCGAGCAACGCCGCGUGAGUGAAGAAGGUUUUCGGAUCGUAAAACUCUGUUGUUAGAGAAGAACAAGGACGUUAGUAACUGAACGUCCCCUGACGGUAUCUAACCAGAAAGCCACGGCUAACUACGUGCCAGCAGCCGCGGUAAUACGUAGGUGGCAAGCGUUGUCCGGAUUUAUUGGGCGUAAAGCGAGCGCAGGCGGUUUCUUAAGUCUGAUGUGAAAGCCCCCGGCUCAACCGGGGAGGGUCAGUGGAAACUGGGAGACUUGAGUGCAGAAGAGGAGAGUGGAAUUCCAUGUGUAGCGAUGAAAUGCGUAGAUAUAUGGAGGAACACCAGUGGCGAAGGCGGCUCUCUGGUCUGUAACUGACGCUGAGGCUCGAAAGCGUGGGGAGCAAACAGG